AUUGAACGCUGGCGGCAGGCUUAACACAUGCAAGUCGAGCGGGGUGAUGGUGCUUGCACUAUCACUUAGCGGCGGACGGGUGAGUAAUGCUUAGGAAUCUGCCUAUUAGUGGGGGACAACAUCUCGAAAGGGAUGCUAAUACCGCAUACGUCCUACGGGAGAAAGCAGGGGAUCACUUGUGACCUUGCGCUAAUAGAUGAGCCUAAGUCGGAUUAGCUAGUUGGUGGGGUAAAGGCCUACCAAGGCGACGAUCUGUAGCGGGUCUGAGAGGAUGAUCCGCCACACUGGGACAGAGAAACGGGCAAGACUCCUACGGGAGGCAGCAGUGGGGAAUAUUGGACAAUGGGGGGAACCCUGUGCCAGCCAUGCCGCGUGUGUGAAGAAGGCCUUAUGGUUGUAAAGCACUUUAAGCGAGGAGGGGGCUCUUUUGGUAAAUACCCAAGAUGAGUGGACGUUACUCGCAGAAUAAGCCCCGGCUAACUCUGUGCCAGCCGCCGCAGUAA
RNAcentral lists this ribosomal RNA (503 nucleotides) under uncultured bacterium. RNAcentral's name for it is "partial 16S ribosomal RNA". It matches the Rfam family "Bacterial small subunit ribosomal RNA", at positions 30 to 523 of the family's 1533-position model. The record is from RNAcentral.